Oncorhynchus kisutch (coho salmon) is the source of this 580-nucleotide long non-coding RNA. RefSeq lists it as uncharacterized. The record is from RefSeq and is a predicted model, not a curated record. The transcript has 4 exons. NCBI's taxonomy places the organism in Eukaryota, Metazoa, Chordata, Actinopteri, Salmoniformes, Salmonidae.
GGUUCGACGGUAACUUCAACACCAACGUGUCCAAGACCAUCUGCUGUGACCGGCUGUCCCCCACCGUCAACAGUCGAGCCUUUAACCCUGGACGGGACCUCAACUCAGUGUUGGCAGAUAACCUGAAGUCCACCCGGGCAUCAAAUGGCAGUACUUCAGCUCAGAGGAGGGCAUCUUCACUGUGUUCCCCGCCCACAAGUUCCACUGCAAGGGCAACUACGAGCACCGCUGCAGGCCAGUGUACGUGUCGGCGGUGCGGCCCCAAUCGAAACACAUCGUGGUGAUCAUCGAUCACGGCGUGACCAUUACAGACACACAGCUGCAGAUCGCCAGAGACGCUGCGCUCGUCGUCCUCAGCUCCGUAGACGAACAUGACAAGGUCUCGAUCCUGUCCUCAGCGGAGGCGGUGCGGUCCUGUUCACUGGACCCGUGCUAUAAGAGCUACCUGUCUCCUGCCACCAGCGAGACCAAGAGGAAGAUGAGCACCUUCGUCAACAACCUCAAGGCUUCCGACAGUCCUACCCUGCACGCACUGGGCUUCCAAAAGGCCUUCCAGCUGCUCCGGAACACCAGCAAUAUC